RNAcentral lists this ribosomal RNA (301 nucleotides) under uncultured bacterium. Its description in RNAcentral is "partial 16S ribosomal RNA". It matches the Rfam family "Bacterial small subunit ribosomal RNA", at positions 509 to 807 of the family's 1533-position model. The record is from RNAcentral.
CAGUAGCCGCGGUAAUACGGAGGGAGCUAGCGUUGUUCGGAAUUACUGGGCGUAAAGCGCGCGUAGGCGGUUACUCAAGUCAGAGGUGAAAGCCCGGGGCUCAACCCCGGAACUGCCUUUGAAACUAGGUGACUAGAAUCUUGGAGAGGUCAGUGGAAUUCCGAGUGCAGAGGUGAAAUUCGUAGAUAUUCGGAAGAACACCAGUGGCGAAGGCGACUGACUGGACAAGUAUUGACGCUGAGGUGCGAAAGCGUGGGGAGCAAACAGGAUUAGAUACCCCCGUAGUCCCUGUCUCUUAUAC